Pongo pygmaeus (Bornean orangutan) is the source of this 1123-nucleotide RNA transcript. RefSeq lists it as uncharacterized. The transcript has 2 exons. The record is from RefSeq and is a predicted model, not a curated record. NCBI's taxonomy places the organism in Eukaryota, Metazoa, Chordata, Mammalia, Primates, Hominidae.
GGGGCCGCGGAUGUGGCCGUUCUCAGGCCUCUUGGGAUCGCCUCAAGAAGCCCCCUCAAGAGUGUCUCGAUUUCCUGCCAGCCAACAAGGGCCGUUCGCCUCUCAUGGCCUCCACAGCAGGGUUGCCGUGGUAACGACCCUCCGCCGGACGUUGGACGCACCGCGCUCGUAUUCUUACCCACCUCCCGCUCCGCCCCAUCCCUUCUCGCUCCUCCCUCUUGUCACACCCUUUCAGACACGGGUAGUGUAGCCGGUCCCUAGCGGCGGGAUAAAAGUCCUGCCCUUUCACACAUGCGCAGUGUACCCAUUCCUAGGGGUGGGGCUAAGGGGGCCUGCCCUUUCGGACAUGCGCAGUGGAGCCCGUCCCUAGGAGCAGGGUAAUGGCGGCAGACCUGGCAGGUCUCAGGCUCUUGGGAUCCCCUCGAGAAGCCCCCUCAUGAGUGUCUGAAACUGUCACUUGACUGCCAGAAGUGAAAACAUCGUGUCCCUAGUCACCUGCCAUUUGCCUUUUCAAAACCAUUUCCUCUGUUCUCUAUGCUGUCACAAAUCCUCUGCAUCCCAGGAGCGCCGCUUGGACCCCCGGGCUCACUGCGUGGCCCGUAUCUAGGCCGGGCCUCUCACGGAGACUUUCCCGCCAGUGUAAUAAAGAGGAGAAAACGUCACAGCGGAAGGGCCUGACCCUAAGGAAACAGCUACGGGGAUGGGACCCUGUAAGCUGCUGUGGGAGCCUCAUCCACCACUUUUCUGACCCCACCCAGGCUGCUUCCCAGGCGUUAGGGUCCUAGUGUGGACCUCCUGGCCGUGAUUAAUGCAGUUUUUCAGAUUAAGUACUGCAGGACUACUUACUUCUGAAACUCAUAGACACUGCCUCAGCUCUGUGCAGGGCAGAUGCACAAGAGCUGAAUCUCCGUGGGACAGCUCUCUGGAGCAUCAAUAUUACUGCAGUAUUUGGAAGAAACAAAUUUAAAUAAGUUCUAAUGUAAAGAAUGGAACAUUUAAGACACGUCUGGAAAGUCAUCUGCCUUUAGUAACUGUCGUCUGUCCCUCACAUGUCAGACUUUCUCCAAGACAAAAACUCUAAGAACUUAUUUCCAUUCUUAUAAAUAGUAAAAAUGAUAAAUCA